AGCGAACGUUGGCGGCGUGCCUAACACAUGCAAGUCUUGGGGGAAAGUAGCAAUACGAGUACACCGGCGCACGGGUGAGAAACGCGUGGAUAAUCAACCUAGAGGAUGGGAAUAACUUGCCGAAAGGCGAGCUAAUACCCAAUAAAGUCCGGUCACCUGCGGGUGGUCCGGACCAAAGCUGGGGACCUUCGGGCCCAGUACCUUUGGACGAGUCCGCGUCCCAUUAGCUAGUUGGCAGGGUAACGGCCUACCAAGGCGACGAUGGGUAGCUGGUCUGAGAGGAUGAUCAGCCACACUGACACUGGAACACGGGUCAGACUCCUACGGGAGGCAGCAGUGAGGAAUAUUGCGCAAUGGGCGAAAGCCUGACGCAGCGACGCCGCGUGGAGGAUGAAGGCCUUCGGGUCGUAAGCUCCUGUCGGAAGGGAAGAACCACUGGCAGCCGAAUAGGCUCCAGUCUGACGGUACCUUCAAAGGAAGCACCGGCUAACUUCGUGCCAGCCGCCGCGGUAA
Molecule: ribosomal RNA, 513 nt
Filed under: uncultured bacterium
Lineage: Bacteria
Description: partial 16S ribosomal RNA
Rfam family: Bacterial small subunit ribosomal RNA
Source: RNAcentral